AAAAAAGGUAAGCUACUAAGAGCGAAUGGUGGAUGCCUUGACUGGUAAAGGCGAUGAAGGACGUACUAGACUGCGAUAAGCUACGGGGAGCUGUCAAGAAGCUUUGAUCCGUAGAUUUCCGAAUGGGGCAACCCAAUGUAUAGAUAUAUACAUUACCUAUAUAGGAGCGAACGAGGGGAAUUGAAACAUCUUAGUACCCUCAGGAAAAGAAAUCAAUAGAGAUUGCGUCAGUAGCGGCGAGCGAAAGCGCAAGAGGGCAAACCCAGUGCUUGCACUGGGGGUUGUAGGACUGCAAUGUGCAAGAGGUGAGUUUAGCAGAACAUUCUGGAAAGUAUAGCCAUAGAGGGUGAUAGUCCCGUAUGCGAAAAACAAACCUUAGCUAGCAGUAUCCUGAGUAGGGCGGGACACGAGAAAUCCUGUCUGAAGCUGGGUCGACCACGAUCCAACCCUAAAUACUAAUACCAGAUCGAUAGUGCACAAGUACCGUGAGGGAAAGGUGAAAAGAACUGAGGUGAUCAGAGUGAAAUAGAACCUGAAACCAUUUGCUUACAAUCAUUCAGAGCCCUAUGUAGCAAUACAGGGUGAUGGACUGCCUUUUGCAUAAUGAGCCUGCGAGUUGUGGUGUCUGGCAAGGUUAAGCAAACGCGAAGCCGUAGCGAAAGCGAGUCUGAAUAGGGCGCUUAGUCAGAUGCUGCAGACCCGAAACGAAGUGAUCUAUCCAUGAGCAAGUUGAAGCUAGUGUAAGAACUAGUGGAGGACUGAACCCAUAGGCGUUGAAAAGCCCCGGGAUGACUUGUGGAUAGGGGUGAAAGGCCAAUCAAACUUCGUGAUAGCUGGUUCUCUCCGAAAUAUAUUUAGGUAUAGCGUUGUGUCGUAAUAUAAGGGGGUAGAGCACUGAAUGGGCUAGGGCAUACACCAAUGUACCAAACCCUAUCAAACUCCGAAUACCUUAUAUGUAAUCACAGCAGUCAGGCGGCGAGUGAUAAAAUCCGUCGUCAAGAGGGAAACAACCCAGACUACCAGCUAAGGUCCCUAAAUCUUACUUAAGUGGAAAACGAUGUGAAGUUACUUAAACAACCAGGAGGUUGGCUUAGAAGCAGCCAUCCUUUAAAGAAAGCGUAAUAGCUCACUGGUCUAGUGAUUUUGCGCGGAAAAUAUAACGGGGCUAAAGU
RNAcentral lists this ribosomal RNA (1172 nucleotides) under Campylobacter coli. RNAcentral describes it as "partial 23S ribosomal RNA". It matches the Rfam family "Bacterial large subunit ribosomal RNA", at positions 1 to 1188 of the family's 2925-position model. The record is from RNAcentral. Lineage: Bacteria; Pseudomonadati; Campylobacterota; Epsilonproteobacteria; Campylobacterales; Campylobacteraceae.